RNAcentral lists this ribosomal RNA (465 nucleotides) under Moraxella sp. canine oral taxon 017. RNAcentral describes it as "bacterial SSU rRNA". It matches the Rfam family "Bacterial small subunit ribosomal RNA", at positions 9 to 470 of the family's 1533-position model. Lineage: Bacteria; Pseudomonadati; Pseudomonadota; Gammaproteobacteria; Moraxellales; Moraxellaceae. The record is from RNAcentral.
GAGUUUGAUUAUGGCUCAGAUUGAACGCUGGCGGCAGGCUUAACACAUGCAAGUCGAACGAUGAUUACUAGCUUGCUAGUAUGAUUAGUGGCGAACGGGUGAGUAAUGCUUAGGAAUCUGCCUAUUAGUGGGGGACAACAUUCCGAAAGGAAUGCUAAUACCGCAUACGUCCUACGGGAGAAAGCAGGGGAUCGCAAGACCUUGCGCUAAUAGAUGAGCCUAAGUCGGAUUAGCUAGUUGGUGGGGUAAAGGCCUACCAAGGCGACGAUCUGUAGCUGGUCUGAGAGGAUGAUCAGCCACACUGGGACUGAGACACGGCCCAGACUCCUACGGGAGGCAGCAGUGGGGAAUAUUGGACAAUGGGCGAAAGCCUGAUCCAGCCAUGCCGCGUGUGUGAAGAAGGCCUUUUGGUUGUAAAGCACUUUAAGUGGGGAGGAAAAGCUAAUAAUUAAUACCUAUUAGCCC